RNAcentral lists this unclassified non-coding RNA (348 nucleotides) under soil metagenome. RNAcentral's name for it is "partial contains 5.8S ribosomal RNA, internal transcribed spacer 2, and large subunit ribosomal RNA". The stretch from base 1 to 120 matches the Rfam family "5.8S ribosomal RNA", at positions 35 to 154 of the family's 154-position model. The record is from RNAcentral.
GAUGAAGAACGUAGCGAAAUGCGAUAAGUAAUGUGAAUUGCAGAAUUCAGUGAAUCAUCGAAUCUUUGAAAGCACAUUGCGCCCGCCAGUAUUCUGGCGGGCAUGCCUGUCUGAGCGUCAUUUCAACCCUCAUGCCCCUAGGGCGUGGUGUUGGGGAUCGGCCAAAGCCCGCGAGGGACGGCCGGCCCCUAAAUCUAGUGGCGGACCCGUCGUGGCCUCCUCUGCGAAGUAGUGAUAUUCCGCAUCGGAGAGCGAUGAGCCCCUGCCGUUAAACCCCCAACUUUCCAAGGUUGACCUCAGAUCAGGUAGGAAUACCCGCUGAACUUAAGCAUAUCAAUAAGCGGAGGA